AUUGAACGCUGGCGGCAUGCCUUACACAUGCAAGUCGAACGGCAGCACGGUUGCUUGCACCUGGUGGCGAGUGGCGAACGGGUGAGUAAUACAUCGGAACAUGUCCUGUAGUGGGGGAUAGCCCGGCGAAAGCCGGAUUAAUACCGCAUACGAUCUACGGAUGAAAGCGGGGGACCUUCGGGCCUCGCGCUAUAGGGUUGGCCGAUGGCUGAUUAGCUAGUUGGUGGGGUAAAGGCCUACCAAGGCGACGAUCAGUAGCUGGUCUGAGAGGACGACCAGCCACACUGGGACUGAGACACGGCCCAGACUCCUACGGGAGGCAGCAGUGGGGAAUUUUGGACAAUGGGCGAAAGCCUGAUCCAGCAAUGCCGCGUGUGUGAAGAAGGCCUUCGGGUUGUAAAGCACUUUUGUCCGGAAAGAAAUCCUUGGCCCUAAUACGGUCGGGGGAUGACGGUACCGGAAGAAUAAGCACCGGCUAACUACGUG
This 486-nucleotide ribosomal RNA is filed under the name uncultured bacterium. RNAcentral's name for it is "partial 16S ribosomal RNA". It matches the Rfam family "Bacterial small subunit ribosomal RNA", at positions 30 to 507 of the family's 1533-position model. The record is from RNAcentral.